This 862-nucleotide ribosomal RNA is filed under the name Neodermea rossica. RNAcentral's name for it is "Leotiomycetes sp. WJL-2020b partial large subunit ribosomal RNA". It matches the Rfam family "Eukaryotic large subunit ribosomal RNA", at positions 67 to 946 of the family's 3401-position model. The record is from RNAcentral. Lineage: Eukaryota; Fungi; Ascomycota; Leotiomycetes; Helotiales; Dermateaceae.
AACAGGGAUUACCUCAGUAACGGCGAGUGAAGCGGUAACAGCUCAAAUUUGAAAUCUGGGUCUUUUAGGCUCCGAGUUGUAAUUUGUAGAAGAUGCUUCGGGUGCGGCUCCGGUCUAAGUUCCUUGGAACAGGACGUCAUAGAGGGUGAGAAUCCCGUAUGUGAUCGGGGGCCUGCGCCCAUGUGAAGCUCUUUCGACGAGUCGAGUUGUUUGGGAAUGCAGCUCAAAAUGGGUGGUAUAUUUCAUCUAAAGCUAAAUAUUGGCCAGAGACCGAUAGCGCACAAGUAGAGUGAUCGAAAGAUGAAAAGCACUUUGGAAAGAGAGUUAAACAGUACGUGAAAUUGUUGAAAGGGAAGCGCUUGCAACCAGACUUGGGCGGGGUCGAUCAUCGGGGGUUCUCCCUCGUGCACUCGACCUCGCACAGGCCAGCAUCGGUUCCGGUGGUUGGAUAAAGGCCGUGGGAAUGUAGCUUCUUUCGGGGAGUGUUAUAGCCCACGGUGCAAUGCAGCCUACCGGGACCGAGGACCGCGCUUCGGCUAGGAUGCUGGCGUAAUGGUUGUAAGCGACCCGUCUUGAAACACGGACCAAGGAGUCUAACAUCUAUGCGAGUGUUUGGGUGUCAAACCCAUGCGCGUAAUGAAAGUGAACGGAGGUGAGAACCCUUAAGGGUGCAUCAUCGACCGAUCCUGAUGUCUUCGGAUGGAUUUGAGUAAGAGCAUAGCUGUUGGGACCCGAAAGAUGGUGAACUAUGCCUGAAUAGGGUGAAGCCAGAGGAAACUCUGGUGGAGGCUCGCAGCGGUUCUGACGUGCAAAUCGAUCGUCAAAUUUGGGUAUAGGGGCGAAAGACUAAUCGAACCAUCUA